RNAcentral lists this small RNA (71 nucleotides) under Mytilus galloprovincialis (Mediterranean mussel). Lineage: Eukaryota; Metazoa; Mollusca; Bivalvia; Mytilida; Mytilidae. The record is from RNAcentral.
GGUCCCAUGGGAUUAUUGUAGUCCCAUGGGAUAUUUGUUGUCCCAUGGGACUAUAAUUAUCCCAUGGGAUU